CGGAUCGGAGUCUGNAACCCGACUCCGUGAAGCUGGAUUCGCUGUAAUCGCGCAUCAGCCAUGGCGCGGUGAAUACGUUCCCGGGCCUUGUACACACCGCCCGUCAAGCCAUGGAAGCCGGGGGCGCUUGAAGUGCGUUGCCGCAAGGCGCGCCCUAGAGCGAAACCGGUGACUGGGGCUAAGUCGUAACAAGGUAUC
Molecule: ribosomal RNA, 198 nt
Filed under: uncultured bacterium
Lineage: Bacteria
Description: partial 16S ribosomal RNA
Rfam family: Bacterial small subunit ribosomal RNA
Source: RNAcentral